Molecule: ribosomal RNA, 467 nt
Filed under: uncultured bacterium
Lineage: Bacteria
Description: partial 16S ribosomal RNA
Rfam family: Bacterial small subunit ribosomal RNA
Source: RNAcentral
GAUGAACGCUGGCGGCGCGCCUAACACAUGCAAGUCGAACGAUUAAAGCACCUUCGGGUGUGUAUAAAGUGGCGAACGGCUGAGUAACACGUGGGCAACCUGCCCCUUUCAUUGGGAUAGCCACGGGAAACCGUGGAUAAUACCGAAUACUUCGAGACUUCCGCAUGGAAGACUCGAGAAAGCUCCGGCGGAGAGGGAUUGGCCCGCGGCCUGUUAGCUUGUUGGUGGGGUAACGGCCUACCAAGGCAAUGAUGGGUAGCUGGGUUGAGAGACCGACCAGCCAGAUUGGGACUGAGACACGGCCCAGACUCGUACGGGAGGCAGCAGGGGGGAAUCUUGCACAAUGGGCGAAAGCCUGAUGCAGCGACGCCGCGUGCGGGAUGAAGGCCUUCGGGUUGUAAACCGCUUUCAGCAGGGACGAGGCGAAAGUGACGGUACCUGCAGAAGAAGCCCCGGCUAACUACGUG